GUGUCUGGGUCGGUGAUCUUGACAGUGCGGGCCACGUUCCAGGAUACGUGAAUCAUGGGGACGAUGGAUUUGACCUUCUUCACUUCGUUCCACUCGAACCUCUCCAGGGCCAGCUGGUACUGAGGUCCGACAUUCCAUGCGAUGUUGUUGCACCAGCCAACGGCCUGAACCCAGUGAACAGUUCCAGCGUUGAUCCACACCAAGUCUCCAGGUCGCUGGAUGAAGCGGUACACUGGGAUGUUGGCUUUGUAGAGGUCCUCCAACACCGGCCACCAGGACCCGGUCAGAAGUCACUGAUGGCCUGCCAGUAGUUCUCAUGGACAGAGAACCACUCACAGUCUCCAGGGCCGAUGUUGAUGUUCACCGAGCAAAAGUUAUUGUUCUCCUGGUGACCUGUUGAUUAAUGACAGAAUAUCCUCUGUUAUAUAAAACGCUAUUUCAUUUUUUUUUUAUUAAGAACUAACAGAUCUUAAUUCAGAUGGUAACGUGUGUUUCAUUUUGUUUUAACUAAAGGUGUCUUCCACCCAUAACAGGCAUAAAAGAGUAGUUUACCUGGCGUUCGGCUCCCAGGAACCUUCAUGUAGAGCUGGACAGUGUUCAUGCCCAGGAUGGUGUGUCCGACAUGGGUCAGCAUGUUUCCACUGGAUGCUACGCGCAUAAACGCUGGCAGCUUCUGCAACUCCUGAAGCUGGGACUUCCACCUGAGUAGAGACGUCAACUUUCAUCUUUAGUAAUGUAUUUGUAUUUCUGUAUUGACACUUGACCACUAGAGGGCAAUGCAACUAUUUAGUGGCUUUCAAAUAUUAUGUAAUGUUGACCACCAUAUUUAGCUACACAAAUCACUAUUG
Long non-coding RNA from Sebastes umbrosus (honeycomb rockfish), 848 nucleotides. RefSeq lists it as uncharacterized. The record is from RefSeq and is a predicted model, not a curated record. The transcript has 3 exons. NCBI's taxonomy places the organism in Eukaryota, Metazoa, Chordata, Actinopteri, Perciformes, Sebastidae.